RNAcentral lists this ribosomal RNA (634 nucleotides) under uncultured bacterium. Its description in RNAcentral is "bacterial SSU rRNA". It matches the Rfam family "Bacterial small subunit ribosomal RNA", at positions 32 to 636 of the family's 1533-position model. The record is from RNAcentral.
UACGCUACUACAGUGCUUAACAGAUACAAGUGAGGUGGAAACGAUAUUGGAAGCUUGCUUCCGAUAGGCGUCGACCGGCGCACGGGUGAGUAACGCGUAUUCAACCUGCCCACCACUUGGGGAUAACCUUGGCGAAAGUAAGACUAAUACCCAAUGAUAUCUCUAGAAGACAUCUGAAAGAGAUUAAAGAUUUAUCAGGUGCUGUGAUGGGGAUGCGCUCUGGAUUAGACUAGCUUGUGUGAGGGUAACUUGUUCACCAAGGGCAACGCAUCUUUACGGGCUCUGAGAGGAUUAGUCCCCCACACUGGUACUGAGACACGGACCAGACUCCUACGGGAGGCAGCAGUGAGGAAUAUCGGUCAAUGGGCGCAAGCCUGAACCAGACAUCCCGCGUGCAGGAUGACGGCCCUAUGGGUUGUAAACUGCUUUUGUUUGCCAAGAAUGGUUACUACGUGUAGUAAUUUGACGGUAGCAAAUGAAUAAGGACCGGAUAACUCCGUGCCAGCAGCCGCGGAUAAUACAGAACGUCCGGGCGUUAUCCGGAUUCAUCGGGUCUAACGGGAGCGUAGGCCGGAGAUUAAGCGGUGUUGUGAAAUGUACAUGCUCAACCUCUGCACUGCACCGCCGAAAAUGG